GAUGAACGCUGGCGGCGUGCCUAAUACAUGCAAGUCGAGCGAACAGACGAGGAGCUUGCUCCUCUGACGUUAGCGGCGGACGGGUGAGUAACACGUGGAUAACCUACCUAUAAGACUGGGAUAACUUCGGGAAACCGGAGCUAAUACCGGAUAAUAUAUUGAACCGCAUGGUUCAAUAGUGAAAGACGGUUUUGCUGUCACUUAUAGAUGGAUCCGCGCCGCAUUAGCUAGUUGGUAAGGUAACGGCUUACCAAGGCAACGAUGCGUAGCCGACCUGAGAGGGGGAUCGGCCACACUGGAACUGAGACACGGUCCAGACUCCGACGGGAGGCAGCAGUAGGGAAGCUUCCGAAAUGGGCGAAAGCCUGACGGAGCAACGCCGCGUGAGUGAUGAAGGUCUUCGGAUCGUAAAACUCUGUUAUUAGGGAAGAACAAAUGUGUAAGUAACUAUGCACGUCUGGACGGUACCUAAUCAGAAAGCCACGGCUAAUUACGU
RNAcentral lists this ribosomal RNA (496 nucleotides) under uncultured bacterium. Its description in RNAcentral is "partial 16S ribosomal RNA". It matches the Rfam family "Bacterial small subunit ribosomal RNA", at positions 28 to 506 of the family's 1533-position model. The record is from RNAcentral.